This 696-nucleotide long non-coding RNA is filed under the name Nicotiana benthamiana. RNAcentral describes it as "long non-coding RNA (NBEN_LNC006050)". The record is from RNAcentral. Lineage: Eukaryota; Viridiplantae; Streptophyta; Magnoliopsida; Solanales; Solanaceae.
CCAUUACUCUUCACAAUGUACUGCUAGUUCCUUCUUUUAAACACAAUUUUGAUUUUUGUUCACAAGUUAGUGAAGCAAUUGCAUUGUAUAGUUAUGUUCACUGAACAUUAAUGCUUCCUACACAUGAUACAGGACCCUUCUCUGAGGUGGCCUCUGGAUCUUGGUAGAGAAGCUGCUGGGUUAUAUAAACUGGCUUGGGUUCCUCCUUCCUCUUCUUCCUCUGUUAGUUGUUCUUCUACUUCUGUUUGUCUUGUAUCUGCUUCUUGUGAUGAAAGCAAAGUUGUUGCAUUGCCUUCUAUGUCUGUUUCUUGUAAUGAUGACAUCUUGUCUGAUAACAAGGCUGUUCCAUUGCCUUCUCAUGUGAAUAAUUCCAUCUGUAAUAAUGAUUUUACAUCUGAUAUAAAUUACAUUUGGCACUUAAGGCUUGCACAUACUCCUUUUGCAAACAUGAAAUGUAUUUCUGGUCUGUCUUUUCCUUUUGCUUCCAAACAACCCUUUCCCUGUUCAGUCUAUCCUAUGGCCAGACAGACUAGGCUUCCAUUUCCUGAUAGCUCAAUUAAGCCUUUCCUUGUUCAGUCUGUCCUAUGGCCAGACAGACUAGGCUUCCAUUUCCUGAUAGUUCAAUUAAGAUUUCUAGACCCUUUCAACAGAUUCAUGUGGACACAUGGGGACCUUAUCAUACUCCAACCUCUUCUG